RNAcentral lists this ribosomal RNA (253 nucleotides) under uncultured bacterium. RNAcentral's name for it is "partial 16S ribosomal RNA". It matches the Rfam family "Bacterial small subunit ribosomal RNA", at positions 524 to 776 of the family's 1533-position model. The record is from RNAcentral.
UACGGGGGGGGCAAGCGUUGUUCGGAAUUACUGGGCGUAAAGGGCUCGUAGGCGGCCAACUAAGUCGGACGUGAAAUCCCUCAGCUUAACUGGGGAACUGCGUCCGAUACUGGAUGGCUUGGAUUUGGGAGAGGGAUGCGGAAUUCCAGGUGUAGCGGUGAAAUGCGUAGAUAUCUGGAGGAACACCGGUGGCGAAGGCGGCAUCCUGGACCAAUAUUGACGCUGAGGAGCGAAAGCGUGGGGAGCAAACAGG